Jaculus jaculus (lesser Egyptian jerboa) is the source of this 228-nucleotide long non-coding RNA. RefSeq lists it as uncharacterized. The transcript has 3 exons. The record is from RefSeq and is a predicted model, not a curated record. Lineage: Eukaryota; Metazoa; Chordata; Mammalia; Rodentia; Dipodidae.
AAACAGCUUUUCUAGCCAGAGAAACUUCUCAUGGAAGAUGACGGUGGACAGAGUUCAGCUCUCAGGAAGGAGAUCACCACACCCUAGUAGACUUCGGGACAGAGGUCCAUCCAUCAGCACACACUCAGAGCUGGGAAGUCUAGAAGCAAGGAAAGAAAAAUAAAUACACUCACAUGGCUUGAAAGUCCACGUGCUGAGCCUGGAAAAGCCACAGAGAGGGCAAAAUGU